RNAcentral lists this unclassified non-coding RNA (362 nucleotides) under uncultured bacterium. Its description in RNAcentral is "contains 16S-23S intergenic spacer region". The record is from RNAcentral.
UCCCCCGUGAGGGGGCAGUCUCGCCUGACAUAUAAAACAGGCAACGAGGGUUGCGUUCGUUACCCCACUGAAGGGAACAACUCAAGCCACGAACUGACGACGACCAUGCAUCACCUGCCCAGCCGCCUUGCGGGGGCCAAAGUUUCCUAAGGCUUACGUCUGGGUUUCAAACCCUGGUGAGGUUCUUCGUUUGUCAUCGAAUUGAGCCGCAUGAUCCACCGCUUGUGCAAGUCCCCGUCUAUUCCUUUGAGUUUUAAUCUUGCGAUCGUACUACCCAGGCGCCGAACUUAACGCGUUAGCUUCGCCACAAAGAGGGUCGAUACUCCUUAUAGCCAGUUCGGAUCGUUUAGGGCGUGGACUAC